AGAGUUUGAUCAUGGCUCAGAUUGAACGCUAGUAGUAUGCUUAACACAUGCAAGUCAAACGGAAAUGUUUUCGUGGCGAACGGGUGAGUAUUCACAGAAUUUUCCCUUUCAGUUCAGGACAAAGAUUUACUUGAUUAAAUUUAAAUACUGGAUAGUUUUAAAGGUUAAUUCCGCUGAAAGAUAAAUCUGUAUAAGAUUAGGUUGUUGGUAAAUUAAAAGCUUACCAAGCCUACGAUCUUUAGUUGAUUUUAGAGAAUGAUCAACCACACUGGAACUGAAAUAAGGUCCAGGCUGACACGUCGGCCAGCAGUGAGGAAUAUUGGACAAUGAACGAAAGUUUGAUCCAGCAAUACUACCUGGGUGAUGACGGCUUAUUUAAGUUGUAAGAUCCUUUAAUUAAAGAAGAUAAUGACAUUAUUUAAUUGAAUUUAGUCCUGGCUAAUACUCGUGCCAGCAGCCGCGGUAAUACGGGAAGGGCAAGCGUUAAUCGGCAUGACUGGGCGUAAAGCGUUCGUAGACUGUAAAGUAAGUUCUUUGUCAAAUUUUAAGACCCAAUCUUAACUAGCAUUUAAUACUGCUUUACUUUGAGUUUAAUACAGAAA
This 602-nucleotide ribosomal RNA is filed under the name uncultured Alphaproteobacteria bacterium. RNAcentral's name for it is "bacterial SSU rRNA". It matches the Rfam family "Bacterial small subunit ribosomal RNA", at positions 8 to 659 of the family's 1533-position model. The record is from RNAcentral. Lineage: Bacteria; Pseudomonadati; Pseudomonadota; Alphaproteobacteria.